Molecule: small nucleolar RNA, 131 nt
Filed under: Merops nubicus (carmine bee-eater)
Lineage: Eukaryota; Metazoa; Chordata; Aves; Coraciiformes; Meropidae
Description: Small nucleolar RNA SNORA44
Rfam family: Small nucleolar RNA SNORA44
About the family: ACA44 is a member of the H/ACA class of snoRNA that guide the sites of modification of uridines to pseudouridines.
Source: Rfam by way of RNAcentral
GCGCAUGGUUAUCCAAGAGCUGCAGCUCCGACCAGUAGCUCCAGCUCUCCAACAACAUGCCAGAGCAACAGGAAGGUCUUUGACUGCUGGGCCUCUUCUGCCUCUUGCUGUCACUCGCCCCUCCUAUAGAU